UACGAAGGGGGCUAGCGUUGCUCGGAAUCACUGGGCGUAAAGCGCACGUAGGCGGAUAUUUAAGUCGAGGGUGAAAUCCCGGGGCUCAACCCCGGAACUGCCUUCGAUACUGGGUAUCUUGAGUUCGAGAGAGGUGAGUGGAAUUCCGAGUGUAGAGGUGAAAUUCGUAGAUAUUCGGAGGAACACCAGUGGCGAAGGCGGCUCACUGGACUGGUAUUGACGCUGAGGUGCGAAAGCGUGGGGAGCAAACAGG
Molecule: ribosomal RNA, 253 nt
Filed under: uncultured prokaryote
Description: partial 16S ribosomal RNA
Rfam family: Bacterial small subunit ribosomal RNA
Source: RNAcentral